GCCAAGACUAAUUUUCAUUCCAAAAAUAAUGAAAGAAAAUUCAAAAUAAACCAAGUAUAAAUAAACCAAGCAUAAUGUUGUCAACUAAUAAUAGAGUUCAAAGGACAAAGGUAUCAUUAAAAGACACGUAUAAACAAAAACUACACGAGUCAUUAUAGGUGAUUAGGGAGAAGGAAAUAUCUGACUUGUAUACUCAAUCAUUGUAGAAAGGUAUGGGACUCUGCGUGUAGAACCCUCAACUAG
RNAcentral lists this unclassified non-coding RNA (243 nucleotides) under Hevea brasiliensis (rubber tree). Lineage: Eukaryota; Viridiplantae; Streptophyta; Magnoliopsida; Malpighiales; Euphorbiaceae. The record is from RNAcentral.